Molecule: ribosomal RNA, 390 nt
Filed under: uncultured bacterium
Lineage: Bacteria
Description: partial 16S ribosomal RNA
Rfam family: Bacterial small subunit ribosomal RNA
Source: RNAcentral
AUACGUAGGUGACAAGCGUUAUCCGGAUUUACUGGGCGUAAAGGGCGUGUAGGCGGUCUUGCAAGUCAGAAGUGAAAUUCCUGAGCUCAACUCGGGCGCUGCUUCUGAAACUGCAGGACUUGAGUGCUGGAGGGGAUAGCGGAAUUCCUAGUGGAGCGGUAAAAUGCGCAGAUAUUAGGAAGAACACCGGUGGCGAAGGCGGCUAUCUGGACAGUAACUGACGCUGAGGCGCGAAAGCGUGGGGAGCAAACAGGAUUAGAUACCCUGGUAGUCCACGCCGUAAACGAUGAGCACUAAGUGUCGGAUGAAUUUUCGGCGCUGCAGUUAACACAAUAAGUGCUCCGCCUGGGGAGUACGGUCGCAAGACUGAAACUCAAAGGAAUUGACGGG